Herpailurus yagouaroundi (jaguarundi) is the source of this 3371-nucleotide long non-coding RNA. RefSeq lists it as uncharacterized. Lineage: Eukaryota; Metazoa; Chordata; Mammalia; Carnivora; Felidae. The record is from RefSeq and is a predicted model, not a curated record. The transcript is spliced from 2 exons.
GGAGCCCUGUCCAUCUCAGCUGCCCAUCUAGGGACGUAGGUUUCGCCUCACUGGCCCUGGGGCUGCCCAGGGACCCCGCAGCCCUGCAUCUAAAACAUGCAGGUGCCUGUGUGGGGCACCUUAGGGCCUAAGAGGGAGGGGGGUGCCUGCCUGCCCAGAUUUUUUGCCACUUGCAGGUGACCCCAAGGCGCUGCUUUUUUUUUUUUUCUCAGUGGGCUUUGCUGCCCAGGGAACCUGAUCUCCUGCCUUACGGGAAAGUGCCACUGGGGGUGUUGCAUCUAAGUGUGACAUUGGGCACCAUGUCUGGGUUUUCAUGAAGAGCCCUGCUUUUCCAAGGACGAUGAAACCCGGGGCUGCACUGGGGACACCAGGUAAGGUAGCCUCUCCCUGCUUCCUGCCGGCCCACAGAGAGUCACGGACAGGUGGCCACUGGGAUCCUCGGAGGGUAGAGGCCGGGCUGGGGGAGUGCCAAACCCAGGUCACACAUUGGUGCGGGGUGUGUGGUCCUAGGACCCACCCUCACGUCCCCUGGGCCGCACUGAGCACCCUGGGGGUUGGGAGGGCUGCCGGUGAGCGCCUGUCAUUUACGUGCAGCCCACAGCUCCCGCAGAAUGGUUGGGGAGGCGCCUAUCCUGCCAGGCCUUGACCCCCGGCUGGCCGAGAGCAUACGUGUGCACUUCCCCACAAGGCGGCACCCAGGUGCCAGCUCGUCAGCCCAGGGCCGGCCGCACACACAUGGGGUGGCUUCCAGGAGUGCCCCCACAGCCUCCUGACCUUCUGGAAGGCCUGUAAUACUUGCCGGUGUGCUUUCCAGACUCAUCCUUCGUUAGUGCUGCCCUCAGUUCAUGUCCUCAGCUGGUAGGCAGGCCCCGGGUGGGUCCCAGGGUGUGGCUGUGGUUCGUUCCUGUCUUCACCAGGAUUGAUGAAGCACCUGCUUUGUGCCAGGGGAUUUUGUGGGCAAACACCAUGGAGCUGAGACACUCACCAUGCUGGGGGGUGGGGGGUCCCGGAAGGCACCUUUGAGGAGGUGACGUUAAGCUGAGACCUGAAGGUUCCCACUGCUUGAAGAGGAAAGGCCACCCCCCCAGGGGGGGGGGGUAGUGGGGGACAACAUGUACAAAGGCCCUGAGACCCUAGAGCACAGGAUGGGUGAUGUACGUGAACAUUCUAGACCUAGGCCCCUGGCAGAGGCUCCAAGGGCACCUGGGAAGAAGGAAGUGUAGGCUGAUGUGCACCCUGAAAGCCUACAAGACCUGGCCAGUCUGGGCCUGGAGGGCCCCAGGGACACCUCUUCCAGGCAAAGGGCCCCCAACUCCCCCAGCCCUUGGCUUCUAGGGGUGCAUAGGAAGUCUGUGUGUGUGUGUGCACCUGCGUGUGUGCACGCGUGUGUGUGCAUGUGUGGCGCUGGACAGGCUGAAUGGGAAGGAAGGGCUGCUGAGGAGGCCACCACGGAGAACGGUACCCCGCUCUCGUUCCUUGCGUUGACCUCUGCCUACCCCCAGCCUGGCCCGCAUCUUGGACAGCCAGGGAGGCCACGUCCACAGUUUGUGCAGACUUUCAGAGAAAGGCACCGGGCGCAGGCCACAUGGGCCCGUGAGCCCCAGGGACGGCAUGUCCCCUGUGUGUCUGCAGCCAUGACCUGGGCCUCUCGGCGAGCCAGCCUGAAGCAGUUGGCAUCACAUCCUGGGAACCCCAGCUCGGUCUCAGAGAUUAAUUGGUGCUUUUAAUUACUGGCUGGUCUGCAGAAACCAAACAUCCAGGACAAAGAUGAGCGAUCAGCUCUGAGCAGUGGCUCCGCAAAGACAGCCCCGUCCUGCCCUGCUGGGUCUCGGAUCGAGAGGCGAGGGGGCUCACAGGGGCGCCAGGAGUCCAGUGGCCCCCAGUAACAGACUCCCAGGGCUCCGGGCCAAGCGUUUUGUUGAAACACCCCUCCCGAUGUAGUUUGCCAGCUGGCGUGGACCUUCUGGUUUGGGUCAAAGCCCUUCCUCGGUUGGGCUGAUGUCCACUUGGAAGCUGGCUGUGUCUGCCCCUCGCCUUCUGUGUGUGCAGAGGCCGCCGGGAGAUCAUGCCCAGAUUCCCCCCUCCCCUGCCUGCAGGACCAGGGUGUUCUGGGCCAGCCCGUGGGGGGUGCUGGUCCUCAGGACACCUCCCGACCGCCGGGUUGGGGUGAAUGUGCUCCAGGCUGCACCUUGUCACCGGCUCUGAGGCCGAUCAGGAAAGCCACCCUGCCCAGGGGUGACCGGGGACGGGACGGGACAGGGCAGUGGGACCCCCUCCUGUGGCGGUUCUUUGAGAAGAUCGGGGGAGAGGGCAAUGCUUAGCCCGGAGGGCUGAGCCCGGCGCACGCUGUCUGCCCAGUGACAUGUGCUGUGCAGAUGUGUCGGGAACAGCUGUGGGCUCUGCUCUGGCUUCCACUCACCCCCUGCUGGACGCGACCCCCCGGCCUCCGGCUGUGCCCAUCCAUCUCUCCUCUCCCCGUCCUGGGCCUGGCUCCUGACUCCACCGGCGACGUUCAGGUCUCAGUGUGUAUCUUUGAUGGCAAGCAGAGACUGCUUCCGCAGCCCAAACCGUCCUCAGGCAGGGUCCUGGGGCCUGCAUGCAGAGCCCUCCUUGGGUGGAGGCGAGUGCCAGGCGUCUGGCCAGAGCUGGCCAGGCACCAGCAUACCACCCGCGGGGAAACUGAGUCCGCUGAGGUGUUAGAGGCUUGGGGUCUGCCUGGGCCUUCCUCUGGACGUUUCCAUCCCGUAAGCCUCGUCUGUGCAGAUGGGCAUUGUGUGAUACCAGGCUCCUAGAUCCCCGGACCCCAGACCCCACCCUCCUCCUGGACCCUCAUUCCCCUGGGCCCCAAACCUUACCCUCAUUCUGGACCAUGGGCCCCCUGGCUCCUAUGGGCUCUUGCCCCUGGACCUCAGUCCCCAGGCCCCCUGCCCUUUCCCACCACCUGGGCCCCAGCCCCAACCCCCGUGCACCAAGCCCCUCUGGGUUCUGGUCCCUGGGCUCCUCUGAGAGGCAGUGGGGCCGGGAGAGGGCUUCUCAACCCCCAUGCAGGAGGGGAGCCAGGAUGUUGAAGGUGACUCCAGAAAACCAGCUUUCGAGCCCAAAUAGGCUGUCGGGAGCUAUGCUUGUCCUUCCGAACUUAACUUUCAGAUUUAAUGAGGCUUCUGGUUCAAGAUGUCGAAGCCGGGACCCCUCGGAAGCAGAGCCCUGUGUCCAUUACGACCGGAAAAGGCCAAUGCUAGCUUGAAAUGAAAAUAUCAGAGAGAAAAAUCCUCUUUCGGAGCGAGGGGCCCCGGAUGGCUCUGCCACCGCGGAAGGUUCCAGAGACGCAGCGGUGCCAGAGGCAAAUUAAAACACACCCUGUCAAAAGAGUU